Molecule: non-coding RNA, 102 nt
Organism: Paramarasmius palmivorus
Lineage: Eukaryota; Fungi; Basidiomycota; Agaricomycetes; Agaricales; Marasmiaceae
Source: the annotation of a GenBank genome assembly
GCCCGCCUAGCUCAAUCGGAUAGAGCGUCAGACUUUUACGGACAGUCUAGCGGGCUGAAGUGAUGUAUCUGAAGGCUGCGAGUUCGACCCUCGCGGUGGGCU